This 106-nucleotide ribosomal RNA is filed under the name Oribacterium sp. KHPX15. RNAcentral's name for it is "16S rRNA. Bacterial SSU". It matches the Rfam family "Bacterial small subunit ribosomal RNA", at positions 1 to 97 of the family's 1533-position model. The record is from RNAcentral. Lineage: Bacteria; Bacillati; Bacillota; Clostridia; Lachnospirales; Lachnospiraceae.
UUUAAUAUGAGAGUUCGAUCCUGGCUCAGGAUGAACGCUGGCGGCGUGCCUAACACAUGCAAGUCGAACGAGCGAGAGAUGAAACCUAGUGAAUCUCAAGCGAGUG